GACAGAGGGUGCAAACGUUGCUCGGAAUCACUGGGCGUAAAGGGCGUGUAGGCGGGACAGUAAGUCGGGCGUGAAAUCCCUGGGCUCAACCCAGGAACUGCACUCGAAACUACUAUUCUUGAGUGUCGGAGAGGAAAGCGGAAUUCCUGGUGUAGAGGUGAAAUUCGUAGAUAUCAGGAGGAACACCAGUGGCGAAGGCGGCUUUCUGGACGAUAACUG
This 219-nucleotide ribosomal RNA is filed under the name uncultured bacterium. RNAcentral describes it as "partial 16S ribosomal RNA". It matches the Rfam family "Bacterial small subunit ribosomal RNA", at positions 524 to 742 of the family's 1533-position model. The record is from RNAcentral.